Molecule: long non-coding RNA, 989 nt
Filed under: Salmo salar (Atlantic salmon)
Lineage: Eukaryota; Metazoa; Chordata; Actinopteri; Salmoniformes; Salmonidae
Description: lncRNA (ENSSSAG00000106096.1)
Source: RNAcentral
GUGUUUAUAUGACUAAUGCCAUAUCCUGCCUACUGCAUCAGUUUAAUAUUGAAUUAUUAGUGUGCAUGUAAAUAUUCUUAUUGUCUGUUACAGACAGGGCAGGUAAAGUCUUGGUUUGGUGGUAGAGGUGCAUCCAGCAAAGGCCUGUGUGACUUAUUUAGCUGUAAAUAAUUUAGCUGCUUUUUAAGACACUAGGUUUAGCAUGUUAAAAUGUCUUACUCACGUCGGCCACAGAGAAGGAGAUCCCACAGUCCUUGUAGCAGGCCGCGUCGGUGGCACUGUAUUAUCCUCAAAGCGGGCAAAGAAUGUCAAGGGGGGUACUCAAGGAAGCAGGAGGGGUUAAACUGUGUCUAUUUGUAAGUGUCUGUUAUAGAUCAUUUGGUGAACAUCUUCAACGGCCACAUUCAACAAAUUCUACUCAGGGUCUUCAAGUGUUUUUGUAACGCUGUCACUUUAAAAAUAGUGCUGACAACUGCACAGAAUGUUGCCAAGUGAAAAUUUAUAUCAGAUAAUGGAAAAUCAGACAUUUGUCAGGUCGUCCGUGAGCAAAGAGUGUAUCAAGAUAAGCAUGUGAAAGUUGUACCAGAUUAACGUGAAGGAGUUCAAAAUGAAGAUUUCACUCAAAUUGGUUUGUUGGUAUUUGUUGCAGUAUAAUCUCUGAUGGUAUGUAGCUAGCUAGGUAGUGACAGAAUAACGUUGCCUAUUUAACUAGCUACAACGAACAGGUCGUGGAUAACAAGCUAAUGUUAGUAACAAAUGAUUGGUGUUUUUUUUAAGCAGUUUUAUAUCUACGUCUUUAAGAUAGGUCAUUAGUGGAUAGUGUCAGACUGAUAGUAACGUUAUCAGUUUUGACAGUGGAAUUACAGUAACCAACUUAGUUGCUAGCCAACCUAGUUAUUAGCUACUCCAUGUUACUCACCUUGUGUUAUUUUAGUUGAAAGAAGACACUCUUCAUAGAAUACUAGAAUGGACAUGAACAUUAAUUUGUG